Molecule: ribosomal RNA, 253 nt
Filed under: uncultured bacterium
Lineage: Bacteria
Description: partial 16S ribosomal RNA
Rfam family: Bacterial small subunit ribosomal RNA
Source: RNAcentral
UACGUAGGGGGCAAGCGUUGUCCGGAAUCAUUGGGCGUAAAGAGCGUGUAGGCGGCCAGAAAAGUCCGCUGUGAAAACUCGAGGCUCAACUUCGAGCUGUCGGUGGAAACUUUCUGGCUAGAGUGUGGUAGGGGAGAUCGGAAUUCCUGGUGUAGCGGUGAAAUGCGCAGAUAUCAGGAGGAACACCGGUGGCGAAGGCGGAUCUCUGGGCCAUUACUGACGCUGAGGAGCGAAAGCGUGGGGAGCAAACAGG